This 345-nucleotide unclassified non-coding RNA is filed under the name uncultured fungus. Its description in RNAcentral is "partial contains small subunit ribosomal RNA, internal transcribed spacer 1, and 5.8S ribosomal RNA". The stretch from base 1 to 73 matches the Rfam family "Eukaryotic small subunit ribosomal RNA", at positions 1759 to 1831 of the family's 1831-position model. Lineage: Eukaryota; Fungi. The record is from RNAcentral.
CCAAACUUGGUCAUUUAGAGGAAGUAAAAGUUGUAACAAGGUUUCCAUAGGUGAACCUGUGGAAGGAUCAUUACUGAAGCAAAUAGGCUUUGGAUUGACCUGCCUAUUCAUAGGAUGUGCGACGGCUUCUCAGUUAGAGACUCCUUGAUGGCUCGUCUAGCUUGGACCAUUCCAUGCUUGCUUGCUGUUGGGCUGAUCUCUGGUAGCUGUUGGUCAGAUUCUACGUUCUACAUAUACCACUUAAAGUCUAUGAAUGUUUGAUCAUCAGUCUUUACAGACUCGAUAUAACCCUAUACAACUUUCAGCAACGGAUCUCUUGGCUCUUGCAUCGAUGAAGAACGCAGC